Molecule: RNase P RNA, 133 nt
Filed under: Methanothrix sp.
Lineage: Archaea; Methanobacteriati; Methanobacteriota; Methanomicrobia; Methanotrichales; Methanotrichaceae
Description: partial RNase P RNA component
Rfam family: Archaeal RNase P
About the family: Ribonuclease P (RNase P) is a ubiquitous endoribonuclease, found in archaea, bacteria and eukarya as well as chloroplasts and mitochondria.
Source: RNAcentral
AGGCGGAUGAAACGGCGAAACCCUGUGGGUGCAAGCCAAAAUAGAGCUGAGAACGCGGCCGUCCAGCCGAGCUCGGGUAUGGCGCUAAGCUGAAUGCCGCCAAAGAACAGAAGGGGGCUUACUCUCCUCACUC